RNAcentral lists this ribosomal RNA (941 nucleotides) under Staphylococcus warneri. RNAcentral describes it as "bacterial SSU rRNA". It matches the Rfam family "Bacterial small subunit ribosomal RNA", at positions 1 to 923 of the family's 1533-position model. The record is from RNAcentral. Lineage: Bacteria; Bacillati; Bacillota; Bacilli; Caryophanales; Staphylococcaceae.
UUUAUGGAGAGUUUGAUCCUGGCUCAGGAUGAACGCUGGCGGCGUGCCUAAUACAUGCAAGUCGAGCGAACAGAUAAGGAGCUUGCUCCUUUGACGUUAGCGGCGGACGGGUGAGUAACACGUGGAUAACCUACCUAUAAGACUGGGAUAACUUCGGGAAACCGGAGCUAAUACCGGAUAACAUAUUGAACCGCAUGGUUCAAUAGUGAAAGGCGGCUUUGCUGUCACUUAUAGAUGGAUCCGCGCCGUAUUAGCUAGUUGGUAAGGUAACGGCUUACCAAGGCAACGAUACGUAGCCGACCUGAGAGGGUGAUCGGCCACACUGGAACUGAGACACGGUCCAGACUCCUACGGGAGGCAGCAGUAGGGAAUCUUCCGCAAUGGGCGAAAGCCUGACGGAGCAACGCCGCGUGAGUGAUGAAGGUCUUCGGAUCGUAAAACUCUGUUAUCAGGGAAGAACAAAUGUGUAAGUAACUGUGCACAUCUUGACGGUACCUGAUCAGAAAGCCACGGCUAACUACGUGCCAGCAGCCGCGGUAAUACGUAGGUGGCAAGCGUUAUCCGGAAUUAUUGGGCGUAAAGCGCGCGUAGGCGGUUUUUUAAGUCUGAUGUGAAAGCCCACGGCUCAACCGUGGAGGGUCAUUGGAAACUGGAAAACUUGAGUGCAGAAGAGGAAAGUGGAAUUCCAUGUGUAGCGGUGAAAUGCGCAGAGAUAUGGAGGAACACCAGUGGCGAAGGCGACUUUCUGGUCUGUAACUGACGCUGAUGUGCGAAAGCGUGGGGAUCAAACAGGAUUAGAUACCCUGGUAGUCCACGCCGUAAACGAUGAGUGCUAAGUGUUAGGGGGUUUCCGCCCCUUAGUGCUGCAGCUAACGCAUUAAGCACUCCGCCUGGGGAGUACGACCGCAAGGUUGAAACUCAAAGGAAUUGACGGGGACCCG